Molecule: ribosomal RNA, 468 nt
Filed under: uncultured bacterium
Lineage: Bacteria
Description: partial 16S ribosomal RNA
Rfam family: Bacterial small subunit ribosomal RNA
Source: RNAcentral
GACGAACGCUGGCGGCGUGCUUAACACAUGCAAGUCGAACGGAAAGGCCCUGCUUUUGUGGGGUGCUCGAGUGGCGAACGGGUGAGUAACACGUGAGUAACCUGCCCUUGACUUUGGGAUAACUUCAGGAAACUGGGGCUAAUACCGGAUAGGAGCUCCUGCUGCAUGGGGGGGGUUGGAAAGUUUCGGCGGUUGGGGAUGGACUCGCGGCUUAUCAGCUUGUUGGUGGGGUAGUGGCUUACCAAGGCUUUGACGGGUAGCCGGCCUGAGAGGGUGACCGGCCACAUUGGGACUGAGAUACGGCCCAGACUCCUACGGGAGGCAGCAGUGGGGAAUAUUGCACAAUGGGCUGAAGCCUGAUGCAGCAACGCCGCGUGCGGGAUGACGGCCUUCGGGUUGUAAACCGCUUUCGCCUGUGACGAAGCGUGAGUGACGGUAAUGGGUAAAGAAGCACCGGCUAACUACGUG